CUACGUGCCAGCAGCCGCGGUAAUACGUAGGGCGCGAGCGUUGUCCGGAAUUAUUGGGCGUAAAGAGCUUGUAGGCGGUUUGUCGCGUCUGCUGUGAAAGGCCGGGGCUUAACUCCGUGUAUUGCAGUGGGUACGGGCAGACUAGAGUGCAGUAGGGGAGACUGGAAUUCCUGGUGUAGCGGUGGAAUGCGCAGAUAUCAGGAGGAACACCGAUGGCGAAGGCAGGUCUCUGGGCUGUAACUGACGCUGAGAAGCGAAAGCAUGGGGAGCGAACAGGAUUAGAUACCCUGGUAGUCCACGCCGUAAACGAUGAGUGCUAGGUGUUAGACCCUUUCCGGGGUUUAGUGCCGUAGCUAACGCAUUAAGCACUCCGCCUGGGGAGUACGACCGCAAGGUUGAAACUCAAAGGAAUUGACGGGGGCCCGCACAAGCGGUGGAGCAUGUGGUUUAAUUCGAAGCAACGCGAAGAACCUUACCAGGUCUUGACAUCCCUCUGACCGCUCUAGAGAUAGAGUUUUC
This 519-nucleotide ribosomal RNA is filed under the name uncultured bacterium. Its description in RNAcentral is "bacterial SSU rRNA". It matches the Rfam family "Bacterial small subunit ribosomal RNA", at positions 501 to 1016 of the family's 1533-position model. The record is from RNAcentral.